This 1024-nucleotide long non-coding RNA is filed under the name Parus major (Great Tit). RNAcentral's name for it is "lncRNA (ENSPMJG00000018713.1)". The record is from RNAcentral. Lineage: Eukaryota; Metazoa; Chordata; Aves; Passeriformes; Paridae.
GCCAGCCCACCGCUCUUCAGGGUGCUCUGUGGAGUCUAAGCUGCUUUAAGGCUGGCCCCUAGGAAUGGGGGCUUUUGUCUCAAGGCAAAGGACCUUAGACAUGGCACACCGUGCCCAGGCGUUAUUCAUCUCUGUCCCAGCUGUAUGUAAAGUUGUAUCUUUCCCCAGGAGAGCUCAGAAUUGGGAUACCUGGCUGCUGCUCAACCCCAAAGGCCUUGGGAGCAGGCAGCACCCCUCUCUCCUGUGACAGCACACCAUAUCCCGUGGCAGCACACCAUAUCCUGUGACAGCACACCAUAUCCCGUGACAGCACACCAUAUCCUGUGACAGCACACCAUAUCCCGUGACAGCACACCAUCUCACCGAGCGCUGAAAACCCCUUUGCUCCACUGCCCUGGGCGUUGUCAAGUCCUUCUCACCUCCUGCCCACCACCAGCAUCUUCUGCCUGGCAAGGAACCGCUGGCCCCUUGGAGCAGCUCCUCAGCCCCUGCUUUUCCUCGCCAGCCAAUCUCGCCCGAAGAAGCCGCUUUGAUCAAUGCACUUGGAUUUCAGCCUUCAGCCUUGAUCAAGGCAGGAGGAGGGACGGGAGGGAGCGAGUACUCGCAGGCUCUUUGGGGACAGUCUGGGAAGCGGAGCUGCUUCUCCAAGAACAGCCUGCUUCAAAGAGCCUUUCUGAGAGUGUUGCUCCCAACACCACUGCCAAGUCUCAGGAGAGAAGGAAUCUCUUUCCAGCAGACUUUCGUGGGCUUUGGAAGAGCCCCCUGAUCUAUGGCAAAUGAGGAGAUGACUUGAAUGGAGCAGUCCCAAUCCAAAUAACACUCUUCUCCCAGGAGCCUCCUGAGAUUUAUAGGAUUUUACAUCCCUGGACACUAUUUGGGGUGGUUUAUGUGCCACAUUUUUUUACUGUUAUGCUGGCAAAACAACCAUAGAAUCUAGCUUGGGAAAACAAGGUGGGAGAUAAAUCCUCGUGGCGUGGGCUCUCCCAGCAAUAAAAUGGGCUACAGGUGGAGAAAUAGGCCCUUG